This 2619-nucleotide ribosomal RNA is filed under the name Salmonella enterica subsp. enterica serovar Agama. RNAcentral describes it as "partial 23S ribosomal RNA". It matches the Rfam family "Bacterial large subunit ribosomal RNA". Lineage: Bacteria; Pseudomonadati; Pseudomonadota; Gammaproteobacteria; Enterobacterales; Enterobacteriaceae. The record is from RNAcentral.
AAUCCAUAGGUUAAUGAGGCGAACCGGGGGAACUGAAACAUCUAAGUACCCCGAGGAAAAGAAAUCAACCGAGAUUCCCCCAGUAGCGGCGAGCGAACGGGGAGGAGCCCAGAGCCUGAAUCAGCAUGUGUGUUAGUGGAAGCGUCUGGAAAGGCGCGCGAUACAGGGUGACAGCCCCGUACACAAAAGCGCAUGUGCUGUGAGCUCGAUGAGUAGGGCGGGACACGUGGUAUCCUGUCUGAAUAUGGGGGGACCAUCCUCCAAGGCUAAAUACUCCUGACUGACCGAUAGUGAACCAGUACCGUGAGGGAAAGGCGAAAAGAACCCCGGCGAGGGGAGUGAAAAAGAACCUGAAACCGUGUACGUACAAGCAGUGGGAGCACCCUUUGGGGUGUGACUGCGUACCUUUUGUAUAAUGGGUCAGCGACUUAUAUUCUGUAGCAAGGUUAACCGUAUAGGGGAGCCGCAGGGAAACCGAGUCUUAAUUGGGCGUUAAGUUGCAGGGUAUAGACCCGAAACCCGGUGAUCUAGCCAUGGGCAGGUUGAAGGUUGGGUAACACUAACUGGAGGACCGAACCGACUAAUGUUGAAAAAUUAGCGGAUGACCUGUGGCUGGGGGUGAAAGGCCAAUCAAACCGGGAGAUAGCUGGUUCUCCCCGAAAGCUAUUUAGGUAGCGCCUCGUGAAUUCAUCUCCGGGGGUAGAGCACUGUUUCGGCUAGGGGGCCAUCCCGGCUUACCAACCCGAUGCAAACUGCGAAUACCGGAGAAUGUUAUCACGGGAGACACACGGCGGGUGCUAACGUCCGUCGUGAAGAGGGAAACAACCCAGACCGCCAGCUAAGGUCCCAAAGUCAUGGUUAAGUGGGAAACGAUGUGGGAAGGCCCAGACAGCCAGGAUGUUGGCUUAGAAGCAGCCAUCAUUUAAAGAAAGCGUAAUAGCUCACUGGUCGAGUCGGCCUGCGCGGAAGAUGUAACGGGGCUAAACCAUGCACCGAAGCUGCGGCAGCGACGCUGAUGCGUUGUUGGGUAGGGGAGCGUUCUGUAAGCCUGUGAAGGUGGCCUGUGAGGGUUGCUGGAGGUAUCAGAAGUGCGAAUGCUGACAUAAGUAACGAUAAAGCGGGUGAAAAGCCCGCUCGCCGGAAGACCAAGGGUUCCUGUCCAACGUUAAUCGGGGCAGGGUGAGUCGACCCCUAAGGCGAGGCCGAAAGGCGUAGUCGAUGGGAAACGGGUUAAUAUUCCCGUACUUGGUGUUACUGCGAAGGGGGGACGGAGAAGGCUAUGUUGGCCGGGCGACGGUUGUCCCGGUUUAAGCGUGUAGGUGUGUGUUCCAGGUAAAUCCGGUUCACUUUAACACUGAGGCGUGAUGACGAGGCACUACGGUGCUGAAGCAACAAAUGCCCUGCUUCCAGGAAAAGCCUCUAAGCAUCAGGUAACAUCAAAUCGUACCCCAAACCGACACAGGUGGUCAGGUAGAGAAUACCAAGGCGCUUGAGAGAACUCGGGUGAAGGAACUAGGCAAAAUGGUGCCGUAACUUCGGGAGAAGGCACGCUGACACGUAGGUGAAGUGAUUUACUCACGGAGCUGAAGUCAGUCGAAGAUACCAGCUGGCUGCAACUGUUUAUUAAAAACACAGCACUGUGCAAACACGAAAGUGGACGUAUACGGUGUGACGCCUGCCCGGUGCCGGAAGGUUAAUUGAUGGGGUCAGCGCAAGCGAAGCUCCUGAUCGAAGCCCCGGUAAACGGCGGCCGUAACUAUAACGGUCCUAAGGUAGCGAAAUUCCUUGUCGGGUAAGUUCCGACCUGCACGAAUGGCGUAAUGAUGGCCAGGCUGUCUCCACCCGAGACUCAGUGAAAUUGAACUCGCUGUGAAGAUGCAGUGUACCCGCGGCAAGACGGAAAGACCCCGUGAACCUUUACUAUAGCUUGACACUGAACAUUGAGCCUUGAUGUGUAGGAUAGGUGGGAGGCUUUGAAGUGUGGACGCCAGUCUGCAUGGAGCCGACCUUGAAAUACCACCCUUUAAUGUUUGAUGUUCUAACGUGGACCCGUGAUCCGGGUUGCGGACAGUGUCUGGUGGGUAGUUUGACUGGGGCGGUCUCCUCCUAAAGAGUAACGGAGGAGCACGAAGGUUGGCUAAUCCUGGUCGGACAUCAGGAGGUUAGUGCAAUGGCAUAAGCCAGCUUGACUGCGAGCGUGACGGCGCGAGCAGGUGCGAAAGCAGGUCAUAGUGAUCCGGUGGUUCUGAAUGGAAGGGCCAUCGCUCAACGGAUAAAAGGUACUCCGGGGAUAACAGGCUGAUACCGCCCAAGAGUUCAUAUCGACGGCGGUGUUUGGCACCUCGAUGUCGGCUCAUCACAUCCUGGGGCUGAAGUAGGUCCCAAGGGUAUGGCUGUUCGCCAUUUAAAGUGGUACGCGAGCUGGGUUUAGAACGUCGUGAGACAGUUCGGUCCCUAUCUGCCGUGGGCGCUGGAGAACUGAGGGGGGCUGCUCCUAGUACGAGAGGACCGGAGUGGACGCAUCACUGGUGUUCGGGUUGUCAUGCCAAUGGCACUGCCCGGUAGCUAAAUGCGGAAGAGAUAAGUGCUGAAAGCAUCUAAGCACGAAACUUGCCCCGA